This is a Y RNA of Macaca mulatta (Rhesus monkey), 107 nucleotides long. It matches the Rfam family "Y RNA". From Rfam's summary of the family: Y RNAs are components of the Ro ribonucleoprotein particle (Ro RNP), in association with Ro60 and La proteins. The Y RNAs and Ro60 and La proteins are well conserved, but the function of the Ro RNP is not known. In humans the RNA component can be one of four small RNAs -- hY1, hY3, hY4 and hY5. The record is from Ensembl. NCBI's taxonomy places the organism in Eukaryota, Metazoa, Chordata, Mammalia, Primates, Cercopithecidae.
UGCUGAUCUGAAGAUGAUGAGUUAUCUCAAUCGAUUGUUCAGUUACAGAUCCAACUCCUUGCUCUAUUCUUUUCUCUCUUCUCACUACUGUACUUGGCUAGGAAAAU